Molecule: long non-coding RNA, 617 nt
Organism: Saccostrea cuccullata (small rock oyster)
Lineage: Eukaryota; Metazoa; Mollusca; Bivalvia; Ostreida; Ostreidae
Exons: 3
Source: RefSeq, a predicted model, not a curated record
UGGGGCAGCUCGCGUGAAUGAUCAGUACUUUUUUCCCCGUCGCGGAUAUUUACGAUAUUUCACGUCAAGUUGCUUUUCAUACUUGAGUUCGAGAGCUUUUUGAAAGUACGCAACCAAUUCUUAAAACUCGGUCUGUAACUGAGAAAUGUGUGUGUUUAUUUUUCACAGUUGACCAGUUGGUGACAUGCAUUCAAAGCAUCUUAAUUAGCUGUUGCGACGAGACCUCAUUCUACACAAGUGUUACAGUGCUUUAGUUGCCCAGUUUGAUCAUUCAAUAGAAUAGGAUGGAAUUUCUAAGUAGAAAAGGAACGCUUAUUUUUAAUAGAUUGGCUAUUAACUUCCACUUUAAUAAUGUCAGGGGCCUGUCUUCAGGUCGGAAAGGACAGAGGAACAACGUCAUGUUUUCAAAAUCACGAAACAGUCAAAUUUUCUGUGGAGAAAGGAGAUUACGGAUAUGUGACGUCAUACGAAUAUCCUGAUAACUACACCUCGGACUUUUACCUCGGGCAUUCUUGUAACGUCGAGAUCAGAGGCUGUAGCACCUGCAGAGUAAAGGUCACGCUAAUUGAUGUAAACUUCCCACCUUGUCCAGCUGUCCAGAAAUCCAAACAUAGAAA